Molecule: small nucleolar RNA, 138 nt
Organism: Ananas comosus (pineapple)
Lineage: Eukaryota; Viridiplantae; Streptophyta; Magnoliopsida; Poales; Bromeliaceae
Rfam family: Small nucleolar RNA snoR138
Source: Rfam
GUCGCCCCUUGAAUAACCGGUUGUUGUAUGUCAGACAUUUGCAUCCGGUUCAGACAGGGGCGCACAGCAAUCAGAAUCUUUUUGAGGGAAAGGAAUGCAAUUCAUUAACAUUCCUUUCUUAGAUUGAUUCUUAUAUUG